AUGGCAGGAGCAUUAAAAGUGAUUGAAGUAAAAAUAUGUAAGUAUAAGUACACCUUACUUAAAAAUGUGCGGAACUUGGUGCAGUGUGGUGACUUUCCUCACCUGUUAGUGUAUGGACCAUUGGGUGCUGGAAAGAAGACCAGAAUUAUGUGUAUUUUAUGUGAACUUUAUGGUGUUCGAGCGGAAAAAUUGAGAAUUGAAUAUCAGACUAUCAUGACUCCAUCUAAAAAAAAAAUUGAAAUCAGCACCAUUGCAAGUAAUUAUCACUUUGAAGUUAAUCCCAGUGAUGCUGGAAAUAGUGACCGGGUAGUAAUUCAGGAGAUGUUGAAAACAGUGGCACAGUCACAGCAACUUGAAACAACCUCUCAAAGAGAUUUUAAAGUAGUCUUAUUGACAGAAGUUGACAAACUCACCAAAGAUGCCCAGCAUGCCUUGUGAAGAACCAUGGAAAAGUAUAUGUCCACCUGCAGAUUGAUCCUGUGCUGCAAUUCUACAUCUGAAGUGAUCCCUCCUAUUCGUAGCAGGUGCUUGGCAGUCUGUGUGCCCGCACCCAGCAUUGAAGAUAUUUGCCAUGUGCUGUCUACCGUGUGCAAGGAGGAAGGUCUGAAUCUUCCCUCGGAACUGGCCCAUAGAACAGCAGAGAAGUCCUGCCAAAAUCGUAGGAAAGCCCUACUCAUGUGUGAAGCCUGCAGAGUGCAGCAGUAUCCUUUUACUGCAGAUCAAGAAAUCCCUGAGACAGAUUGGGAGGUGUAUCUGAGGGAGACUGCGAAUGCUAUUGUCAGCCAGCAAAUGCCAUAAAGCCUCCUUGAAGUUCGUGGAAGGCUCUAUGAGCUUCUAACUCAUUGUAUUCCUUCUGAGAUGAUAAUGAAGGGCCUUCUCUCAGAGCUGUUACAUAAUGGUGAUGGACAACUGAAAGGGAAGUGGCCCAGAUGGCAGCAUAUUACGGACAUCGUCUACAGCUGGGUAGCAAAGCCAUUUAUCACUUGGAAGCAUUUGUGGCCAAAUUUAUGGCACUUUAUAAGAAGUUCAUGGAGGAUGGGUUGGAAGGCAUGAUGUUCUGA
RNA transcript from Carlito syrichta (Philippine tarsier), 1061 nucleotides. It is a transcript of the gene named replication factor C subunit 3 pseudogene, with no coding region annotated. The transcript is spliced from 2 exons. The record is from RefSeq and is a predicted model, not a curated record. Lineage: Eukaryota; Metazoa; Chordata; Mammalia; Primates; Tarsiidae.